This 617-nucleotide ribosomal RNA is filed under the name uncultured bacterium. RNAcentral's name for it is "bacterial SSU rRNA". It matches the Rfam family "Bacterial small subunit ribosomal RNA", at positions 28 to 638 of the family's 1533-position model. The record is from RNAcentral.
AUUGAACGCUGGCGGCGUGCCUAACACAUGCAAGUCGAGCGGUAACAGGUGUAGCAAUACAUGCUGACGAGCGGCGAACGGGUGAGUAAUGCUUUGGAAUCUUCCCAGUAGUGGGGAAUAACCAGUCGAAAGAUUGGCUAAUACCGCAUACGUCUGUAGAGAGAAAGCGGGGGCUCGUAAGACCUCGCGCUAUUGGAUGAGCCAAAGUCGGAUUAGCUAGUUGGUGGGGUAAUGGCCUACCAAGGCGACAAUCCGUAGCUGGUCUGAGAGGACGACCAGCCACACCGGAACUGAGACACGGUCCGGACUCCUACGGGAGGCAGCAGUGGGGAAUAUUGGACAAUGGGGGAAACCCUGAUCCAGCGACGCCGCGUGUGUGAAGAAGGCCUGCGGGUUGUAAAGCACUUUUAGUGGGGACAAAAAGCUACGGAUUAAUACUCUGUGGUCUUGAUUUAACCCAAAGAAAAAGCACCGGCUAACUCUGUGCCAGCAGCCGCGGUAAUACAGAGGGUGCGAGCGUUAAUCGGAAUUACUGGGCGUAAAGCGCGCGUAGACGGUUUUGUAAGUCAGAUGUGAAAUCCCUGGGCUCAACCUGGGAACUGCAUUUGAGACUGCAU